RNAcentral lists this ribosomal RNA (490 nucleotides) under uncultured bacterium. RNAcentral's name for it is "partial 16S ribosomal RNA". It matches the Rfam family "Bacterial small subunit ribosomal RNA", at positions 30 to 507 of the family's 1533-position model. The record is from RNAcentral.
AUUGAACGCUGGCGGCAGGCCUAACACAUGCAAGUCGAACGGUAACAGGAAACAGCUUGCUGUUUCGCUGACGAGUGGCGGACGGGUGAGUAAUGUCUGGGAAACUGCCUGAUGGAGGGGGAUAACUACUGGAAACGGUAGCUAAUACCGCAUAACGUCGCAAGACCAAAGAGGGGGACCUUCGGGCCUCUUGCCAUCGGAUGUGCCCAGAUGGGAUUAGCUAGUAGGUGGGGUAACGGCUCACCUAGGCGACGAUCCCUAGCUGGUCUCAGAGGAUGACCAGCCACACUGGAACUGAGCCACGGUCCAGACUCCUACGGGAGGCAGCAGUGGGGACUAUUGCACAAUGGGCGCAAGCCUGAUGCAGCCAUGCCGCGUGUAUGAAGAAGGCCUUCGGGUUGUAAAGUACCUUCAGCGGGGAGGAAGGGAGUAAAGUUAAUACCUUUACUCAUUGACGUUACCCGCAGAAGAAGCACCGGCUAACUCCGUG